Molecule: ribosomal RNA, 397 nt
Filed under: uncultured bacterium
Lineage: Bacteria
Description: partial 16S ribosomal RNA
Rfam family: Bacterial small subunit ribosomal RNA
Source: RNAcentral
AUACGUAGGGGGCAAGCGUUAUCCGGAUUUACUGGGUGUAAAGGGAGCGUAGACGGAAGGCCAAGUCUGAUGUGAAAGCCCGCGGCUCAACUGCGGGACUGCAUUGGAAACUGGUCAUCUGGAGUGCAGGAGGGGUAAGCGGAAUUCCUAGUGUAGCGGUGAAAUGCGUAGAUAUUAGGAGGAACACCGGUGGCGAAGGCGGCUUACUGGAUUGAAACUGACGUUGAGGAUCGAAAGCGUGGGGAGCAAACAGGAUUAGAUACCCUGGUAUUCCACGCCGUAAACGAUGAAUACUAGGUGUCGGGUUUCUAUAGAGAUCCGGUGCCGCAGCAAACGCAAUAAGUAUUCCACCUGGGGAGUACGUUCGCAAGAAUGAAACUCAAAUGAAUUGACGGGG